AGCGAACGUUUGCGGCGGGCCUAACACAUGCAAGUCGAACGCACUAGCAAUAGUGAGUGGCGCACGGGUGCGUAACACGUGGGUAAUCAACCCUUCAGCCUGGGAUAACGACUCGAAAGGGUCGCUAAUACCGGAUACGGCGCGAGAGGCUUCGGCUUCUCACGAGAAAGCCACGCAAGGGGCACUGAAGGACGAGCCUGCGGCCCAUCAGCUAGUUGGUGAGGUAAGAGCUCACCAAGGCUAAGACGGGUAGCUGGUCUGAGAGGAUGAUCAGCCACACUGGAACUGAGACACGGUCCAGACUCCUACGGGAGGCAGCAGUGGGGAAUAUUGCGCAAUGGGCGAAAGCCUGACGCAGCCACGCCGCGUGAGCGAUGAAGGCCUUCGGUCGUAAGACUCUGUGGGAGGAGACGAAGAAAGACCUGUGAAGAGCAGGCCUUGACGGUAGUCUCCUUAG
This 457-nucleotide ribosomal RNA is filed under the name uncultured bacterium. RNAcentral describes it as "bacterial SSU rRNA". It matches the Rfam family "Bacterial small subunit ribosomal RNA", at positions 29 to 490 of the family's 1533-position model. The record is from RNAcentral.